Molecule: ribosomal RNA, 495 nt
Filed under: uncultured bacterium
Lineage: Bacteria
Description: bacterial SSU rRNA
Rfam family: Bacterial small subunit ribosomal RNA
Source: RNAcentral
AGUGAACGCUGGCGGCAGGCCUAAUACAUGCAAGUCGAACGGCAGCACAGUGGAGCUUGCUCCAUGGGUGGCGAGUGGCGGACGGGUGAGGAAUACAUGGGAAUCUGCCCAGUCGUGGGGGAUAACGUAGGGAAACUUACGCUAAUACCGCAUGCGCCCUUCGGGGAAAGCCGGGACCGUAAGGCCUGGCGCGAUUGGAUGAGCCCAUGUCGGAUUAGCUAGUUGGCGGGGUAACGGCCCACCAAGGCGACGAUCCGUAGCUGGUCUGAGAGGAUGAUCAGCCACACUGGAACUGAGACACGGUCCAGACUCCUACGGGAGGCAGCAGUAGGGAAUAUUGGACAAUGGGCGCAAGCCUGAUCCAGCCAUGCCGCGUGAGUGAAGAAGGCCCUCGGGUUGUAAAGCUCUUUUGUCCGGAAAGAAAAGCACUGGGUUAAUACCCCGGUGUCCUGACGGUACCGGAAGAAUAAGCACCGGCUAACUUCGUGCCAGCAG